GGAGAGGUGGCAGAGUUGGUCGAUUGCGUUUGAUUUGA
This 38-nucleotide transfer RNA is filed under the name Fibrocapsa japonica. RNAcentral describes it as "tRNA-Ser". Lineage: Eukaryota; Raphidophyceae; Chattonellales; Chattonellaceae. The record is from RNAcentral.